This 193-nucleotide small nuclear RNA is filed under the name Penicillium griseofulvum. RNAcentral's name for it is "U2 spliceosomal RNA". It matches the Rfam family "U2 spliceosomal RNA". From Rfam's summary of the family: U2 is a small nuclear RNA (snRNA) component of the spliceosome (involved in pre-mRNA splicing). Complementary binding between U2 snRNA (in an area lying towards the 5' end but 3' to hairpin I) and the branchpoint sequence (BPS) of the intron results the bulging out of an unpaired adenosine, on the BPS, which initiates a nucleophilic attack at the intronic 5' splice site, thus starting the first of two transesterification reactions that mediate splicing. Lineage: Eukaryota; Fungi; Ascomycota; Eurotiomycetes; Eurotiales; Aspergillaceae. The record is from Rfam by way of RNAcentral.
AACUUCUCUUUGCCUCUUGGCUUAGAUCAAGUGUAGUAUCUGUUCUUAUCAGUUUAAUCGCUGACAUGUCUACCCCCCAGUAGACUUCAAUGAUUACUCUAAUAUUUGAAACUCGGGACUGGCCUCUGUGCUUGCGCAUGCCAGUCCCACAGUGUCGCUGGGCUUACACUACCCCCGGCUGACGCGACACUUU